Molecule: long non-coding RNA, 2707 nt
Organism: Aedes albopictus (Asian tiger mosquito)
Lineage: Eukaryota; Metazoa; Arthropoda; Insecta; Diptera; Culicidae
Exons: 3
Source: RefSeq, a predicted model, not a curated record
CUAGGGCUGAAAGUUUUUGUUUGUCAUCUCAGUAGUGAGUGAAAAAAAUUGAAAACAAACUUGCCAGCUGUCGUUAGGUUUUCAAAUAUGGCGGAUGGUGGAAUCUGACAUAUUGGAUUACCUUCCUUUUACUUACCUUGAUUAUACGGCUUAAAUAGGCUCCUAAAGUCCUAUCGGGAUUCUUGUUUUAAACCACAAUAUAUGGUGCAAGAGUACAUAUUUACUCAUUUUUUUACGUUUUUAUUAACCGUAGUUGAAAAUAUAUAAUUUUUAUUUUUUUAGCCUUUUGUCUUGUCCCUAGCUUAUAACACAUACUUUGAGUGAUUUUUUUUCUCCGUGUAUGUCAGAUAGGAACAUUUUUGAAAUCCCAGUGCGAAAAAUGUCGAGCUCAGGCACACAAGGUUGACCUCAAAUGUCAAAGUAGAACUAUAUACCAUUUUACUUAUUUCAAAUUUUCUCAUUAUUCCUUUGUUUUUCAAGUUCGAGUAAAGUACAAUUCCGAUUAGAAUACCAUGCUUGAUCGUAUUAUUCAAUAUAAGCGAGAUUUCGUCUUUAAUUUUAGGACCCUAUUUGUUUGGAUUUUUGCUCUUCACGCUAAGAUCAGUUUACCCAUAAAUGGGUAGUUGAUUUACCCAUAUUUGGGUUUCAUAUGCAUUACCCAUAAUAUGGGUAAAAUAUACCUUUGAAAAACGGUCAAAUUUACCCAUAUUAUAGGUAAAACCGCUAUACCCAAAUAUGGGUAAAUGAACUUACCCAUAUUUGGAUUAAAAUUUUCAAGUUAGCAACUUUUCUCGGAAUGCAUUAGUGCGCCAUCAUAACACUAUCGGGAAAUUUUAGAUAUUUUGAUUUCUACGGCACCGCUAGCCAGUCGAGGUCCUCGAGCAUCGGGUUUAAUGACCGAUACCACGUCCAUCGGAUUCCCACGCGGGUUAGAGUCGAGGUUCCCAUAUACAUUGAUAUUUUAAUCGGUUUGGUACACGAAAAUAAUGCAGGAGCAACAAAUCAUCAUGUAGAGCUAAAUACAAGAAAGGCUACAAAAGCAUGGAAUUUGCAGUUCCGACUGCACUGAGGCUUCAAGCGCCGGAAGAACGGGAAACGGAAGAACAACUGCGCGAUGAACAACAGCCGGAGGGGGAAAUUACAUACAUGGAUCAUUAUGAAAACUUCAAGGAGCUCCGUCUCGGAUCGUCUGUUUUCCAGGAUGAAAGUGAUUAAGAGUAUUCGAAAUAUGUAAAAAUUUAAUACUAAUUUUCGUUUAAUAAUUAUAUUGCAAUAAACUAAAAAAAUGCAAAAUUUUGUAUAAAUUAAUUAAAUGAUAAAUACAAAAUAGUUAACAGUUCAAAAAUAUAAGAAAAGUCGAAAAGUAAACACGGUGAAAUUACUCAUUUAUGAGUAAAUCGAUUUACUCAUUUUUUACAAAAGGCACUUUACCCAUCGACUAAACCGACGUGCGACUCGAUUCCGGAACAUGACCGAAAACAUUACACGAUAAAUUCAAAUAGCAGUGAUCGCAAAUGUCAAAUUAAAAGUGACGUUUGGCCCGUCAUAACAUCUAAUGCAGCCGACGUCGCGGCGUCUUGAUCAAACGCUUUGUAAACAAAAACACGUGAUGGCCAUUAUUGUCAAUAUAUGGCUUCACGUUGCCUCUGAAUGAAACAUUAUGGGUUAUUAAAGCAUUUUAGGAAGUAUUAACGAUCGAGUUAAAUGUCUGAACCUGAAAAUAAAUUAAUCCGAACAUUGGUGGCUGUUACCAUCUGCACACUAUAUUCCCAUCGGACUGAGCAAGCGUCGUGACAAUGUUUCUGCUCCUGCUGGCUGCAGUACGGCGAAGGCAUAACCACCGACGACGGCGACGCCACGGAACACAAACAUGCACUCUACAUUCAAACCAAUCAAAGUAUGAAAUUCUGUCUUUUGCGCUCCCAAAAUGUUUUGCUUUGAACAGAACUCGUGAAUUUAUCUUUUUUCAGGGAAUCACGAGGAAUGUUGGUAUUGUCGCGCUUAUCUUAGAUUCUCAGCAAGCUGCGUUCGAAACGCGCAGCCUCAGAUCGCGCCAGACCGCGCACGUAUGAUUUGUACACGGUGUGCACCUUGGCUAAAACUGUUUUGCAGCCGCCGGGUGGAGCUGUCAGCCGCCGUGUACAAAUCAAACGGGCGCAAUCUUAUGGCGGCUGACUCAGAUCAGCAGGAUCUGAGUGAUUAAGCUAGGAUGCACAAUAAUGUCUAUAAAAUAAACAGCAUUGUCCAAUGCUUACAAAAACUUGUUCGUUGCAACACAACUAUGCAUGGCAUUAUUUGAGAGUGCUCAAAAUAUUUCGGCAAAAAUAGUUCUGAACCAAAACCAACAGAUGGCGCUAGUUCAGUUCGCAACGGUUUUAAUUUUAAAUCUUUGGACGAACAUUUCAUGAACCUUUGCACUAGGAAGCACGUCGGUUCGUCGGUGCUUUACCCAUAUAUGAGUAAUGGGCCUUUACCCAUAAAAUGCGAAUGUGCACUUUUCAGCGAUUAUGGGUAAAGUUUACCCAUAUUUGAGUAAACUGACCUUAGCGUGUUGGGCCAGCACUAUCGCUGGAAAUGCAAUUUACUCAUUUUUUGAGCUGUUCCAGUGUUCCAAAUCUAACUCAUUUUAGAGUAACUUUUUCUUAACGUGUAAGAUUCACACAAAACUGAGCUAAACAAGAACGACUUAAACUGAUGAGAGUUUUGC